RNAcentral lists this ribosomal RNA (1033 nucleotides) under uncultured archaeon. RNAcentral's name for it is "bacterial SSU rRNA". It matches the Rfam family "Archaeal small subunit ribosomal RNA", at positions 316 to 1353 of the family's 1478-position model. The record is from RNAcentral.
CCAGGCCCUACGGGGCGCAGCAGGCGCGAAAACUGUGCAAUGCGCGAAAGCGCGACACGGGGAGCUUGAGUGUCUUGGCAUAGCCAAGACUUUUCUUAUACCUAAAAAGUAUAAGGAAUAAGUGCUGGGUAAGACGGGUGCCAGCCGCCGCGGUAACACCCGCAGCACAAGUGGUGGUCACUUUUAUUGAGCCUAAAGCGUUCGUAGCCGGUUUUGUAAAUCUUCAGGUAAAUCCUGAAGCCUAACUUCAGAAGGCCUGAAGAGACUGCAAAACUUGAGAUCGGGUGAGGUUAAACGUACUUUCAGGGUAGGGGUAAAAUCCUGUAAUCCUGGAAGGACGACCGGUGGCGAAGGCGUUUAACUAGAACGAAUCUGACGGUGAGGAACGAAGGCUAGGGUAGCAAACCGGAUUAGAUACCCGGGUAGUCCUAGCUGUAAACACUGCCCACUUGAUGUUGCUUUUCCGUUGAGGGAAGGCAGUGUCGGAGCGAAGGUGUUAAGUGGGCCGCUUGGGAAGUAUGGUCGCAAGACUGAAACUUAAAGGAAUUGGCGGGGGAGCACCGCAACGGGAGGAAUGUGCGGUUUAAUUGGAUUCAACGCCGGAAAACUCACCGGGAACGACCUGUGGAUGAGAGUCAACCUGACGAGUUUACUCGAUAGCAGGAGAGGUGGUGCAUGGCCGUCGUCAGCUCGUACCGUAGGGCGUUCACUUAAGUGUGAUAACGAGCGAGACCCACAUCUCUAAUUGCUAAUGUAUAUGUGAAUAUACAUGCACUUUAGAGAGACCGCCAGCGCUAAGCUGGAGGAAGGAGCGGUCGACGGCAGGUCAGUACGCCCCGAAUUUCCCGGGCUACACGCGCAUUACAAAGAACGGGACAAUGCGUUGCAACCUCGAAAGGGGAAGCUAAUCGCGAAACCCGUCCAUAGUUAGGAUUGAGGGCUGUAACUCGCCCUCAUGAAUCUGGAUUCCGUAGUAAUCGCGGGUCAACAACCCGCGGUGAACAUGCCCCUGCUCCUUGCACACACCGCCCGU